This 303-nucleotide ribosomal RNA is filed under the name uncultured bacterium. RNAcentral's name for it is "partial 16S ribosomal RNA". It matches the Rfam family "Bacterial small subunit ribosomal RNA", at positions 507 to 807 of the family's 1533-position model. The record is from RNAcentral.
AGCAGUAGCCACGGUAAUACGUAGGGUGCGAGCGUUAUCCGGAAUUAUUGGGCGUAAAGGGCUCGCAGGCGGUUUCUUAAGUCUGAUGUGAAAGCCCCCGGCUCAACCGGGGAGGGUCAUUGGAAACUGGGAAACUUGAGUGCAGAAGAGGAGAGUGGAAUUCCACGUGUAGCGGUGAAAUGCGUAGAGAUGUGGAGGAACACCAGUGGCGAAGGCGACUCUCUGGUCUGUAACUGACGCUGAGGAGCGAAAGCGUGGGGAGCGAACAGGAUUAGAUACCCCCGUAGUCCCUGUCUCUUAUAC